RNAcentral lists this ribosomal RNA (400 nucleotides) under uncultured bacterium. Its description in RNAcentral is "bacterial SSU rRNA". It matches the Rfam family "Bacterial small subunit ribosomal RNA", at positions 356 to 773 of the family's 1533-position model. The record is from RNAcentral.
GGGGAAUAUUGGACAAUGGGCGAAAGCCUGAUCCAGCGACGCCGCGUGAAUGAUGAAGGCCUUCGGGUUGUAAAGUUCUUUUGGCAGGGAAGAUAGUGACGGUACCUGCAGAAUAAGCCCCGGUUAACUCUGUGCCAGCAGCCGCGGUAAGACAGAGGGGGCUAGCGUUGUUCGGAAUCACUGGGCGUAAAGGGCGCGUAGGCGGCCAUGUAAGUCAGAGGUGAAAGCCUGGAGCUUAACUCCAGAAUUGCCUUUGAUACUGCUUGGCUCGAGUCCGGAAGAGGGUGGUGGAAUUCCUAGUGUAGAGGUGAAAUUCGUAGAUAUUAGGAGGAACACCGAUGGCGAAGGCAGCCACCUGGUCCGGUACUGACGCUGAGGCGCGAAAGCGUGGGGAGCAAAC